RNAcentral lists this ribosomal RNA (247 nucleotides) under uncultured Gardnerella sp. Its description in RNAcentral is "partial 16S ribosomal RNA". It matches the Rfam family "Bacterial small subunit ribosomal RNA", at positions 108 to 356 of the family's 1533-position model. The record is from RNAcentral. Lineage: Bacteria; Bacillati; Actinomycetota; Actinomycetes; Bifidobacteriales; Bifidobacteriaceae.
GAGUAAUGCGUGACCAACCUGCCCCAUGCUCCAGAAUAGCUCUUGGAAACGGGUGGUAAUGCUGGAUGCUCCAACUUGACGCAUGUCUUGUUGGGAAAGUGUUUAGUGGCAUGGGAUGGGGUCGCGUCCUAUCAGCUUGUAGGCGGGGUAAUGGCCCACCUAGGCUUCGACGGGUAGCCGGCCUGAGAGGGCGGACGGCCACAUUGGGACUGAGAUACGGCCCAGACUCCUACGGGAGGCAGCAGNG